This 1159-nucleotide ribosomal RNA is filed under the name Salmonella enterica subsp. enterica serovar Typhimurium. RNAcentral's name for it is "bacterial SSU rRNA". It matches the Rfam family "Bacterial small subunit ribosomal RNA", at positions 1 to 1154 of the family's 1533-position model. The record is from RNAcentral. Lineage: Bacteria; Pseudomonadati; Pseudomonadota; Gammaproteobacteria; Enterobacterales; Enterobacteriaceae.
UGAAGAGUUUGAUCAUGGCUCAGAUUGAACGCUGGCGGCAGGCCUAACACAUGCAAGUCGAACGGUAACAGGAAGCAGCUUGCUGCUUCGCUGACGAGUGGCGGACGGGUGAGUAAUGUCUGGGAAACUGCCUGAUGGAGGGGGAUAACUACUGGAAACGGUGGCUAAUACCGCAUAACGUCGCAAGACCAAAGAGGGGGACCUUCGGGCCUCUUGCCAUCAGAUGUGCCCAGAUGGGAUUAGCUUGUUGGUGAGGUAACGGCUCACCAAGGCGACGAUCCCUAGCUGGUCUGAGAGGAUGACCAGCCACACUGGAACUGAGACACGGUCCAGACUCCUACGGGAGGCAGCAGUGGGGAAUAUUGCACAAUGGGCGCAAGCCUGAUGCAGCCAUGCCGCGUGUAUGAAGAAGGCCUUCGGGUUGUAAAGUACUUUCAGCGGGGAGGAAGGUGUUGUGGUUAAUAACCGCAGCAAUUGACGUUACCCGCAGAAGAAGCACCGGCUAACUCCGUGCCAGCAGCCGCGGUAAUACGGAGGGUGCAAGCGUUAAUCGGAAUUACUGGGCGUAAAGCGCACGCAGGCGGUCUGUCAAGUCGGAUGUGAAAUCCCCGGGCUCAACCUGGGAACUGCAUUCGAAACUGGCAGGCUUGAGUCUUGUAGAGGGGGGUAGAAUUCCAGGUGUAGCGGUGAAAUGCGUAGAGAUCUGGAGGAAUACCGGUGGCGAAGGCGGCCCCCUGGACAAAGACUGACGCUCAGGUGCGAAAGCGUGGGGAGCAAACAGGAUUAGAUACCCUGGUAGUCCACGCCGUAAACGAUGUCUACUUGGAGGUUGUGCCCUUGAGGCGUGGCUUCCGGAGCUAACGCGUUAAGUAGACCGCCUGGGGAGUACGGCCGCAAGGUUAAAACUCAAAUGAAUUGACGGGGGCCCGCACAAGCGGUGGAGCAUGUGGUUUAAUUCGAUGCAACGCGAAGAACCUUACCUGGUCUUGACAUCCACAGAAGAAUCCAGAGAUGGAUUUGUGCCUUCGGGAACUGUGAGACAGGUGCUGCAUGGCUGUCGUCAGCUCGUGUUGUGAAAUGUUGGGUUAAGUCCCGCAACGAGCGCAACCCUUAUCCUUUGUUGCCAGCGAUUAGGUCGGGAACUCAAAGGAGACUGCCA